CUCCCGGUCUGGGUGUGGGCCUCAGGCCGGUAGGGGCGGUCGGCGUCACCGCGGUUCCCCAGCUCGAGCCUUUGCCAACAGCGUUGUCCAAUCAGAUACGGAAGGCCGUCACAACCAAUGGGAGCAAGACAUGGCUGAAGAAAGCCAGAGUGAUUGAUGUGGACUCCAGCCAAUGGGAGUGAAGGUGGCAGCGCGCAGACGCUCCGGGCGUGCGCCCCAUCCGGGGGCGGGCGGGUUGAGCGGAGGUGAAGAUGGCGGCGAAAGGGUAGCGGUGGAGAAAUGGGAAGCUGCAGGCGGAGCAUGAAGCUGAACUGUGGCGGAGGAAUGGUGAAGGAAUGGCGAAGUGCUUUCGGGACGGCGGCUGGAGAGCGACCCCGGGGCGGCAGGUUGGUGACUCCUUGCUGUUGUUAGACCAGAAGUUUGAGAUCUGCACUCCAUUCAUGGCUGUAACAACCAUGUCAGAUUUGCUGUCACAAGACAGACACUGCAUCAACACACCCUCUCUCUUCCUCUUUUGGUUGUAAGAAACAGCGCGAUCUGAAGAGGCCUGGAUUAACAGCUGUCCACAUUUGGCUUCAGCUUUCUCUCCACAAUUACCAUCUCUGAGAAACAGUGGCAUUCACAAUUGAUUCUGAGCCGCACGAAGACCUGCUAGCAUCCCAACAUUCCAGCAUUCAAACAAAAGGUGCUGCUGUUUGUCAUUACUCCUGUGUACUUCGUGAAAAGAUCCAGCAGUUGUACUGGUUGUUGAAUUCCUUUUCCUACAACUCAGAACUGCCCAGAUUUCAUGCCAAUGAUUAGCUUUGUGCAAGAAGGUGGCAGAUCAAAGUUACAAGCCACGCUGCCGCGCCCUGUGCUGAGGAGUGACCUUGUCUGGCUGAAUUUAAUUGUUCUCCCGGUGCCCUUUUACCGUACUGCUGAAAAUCAAGUUACUGAUCUUCAUGUGAAUGGUCAUUUAAAAUCCCACCAUUAUGUUCCCGUCUUGGCAUGUGGCAGGUUCAGUGUACAUUCCUGGUCACCAGAGGCAGUGGCCAGCGGCUGACCUGCUGCAGCUUUGCAUCAUCGUGUACCGUGGCACAGUCUUCUUCGGAGACAGUUGGGCAACGAGCAUCUGAAACAAUGUCUCCCUUGUAUUCAGUCACAGGCUGUCUGUUGCUAAAUUCGCAGUGGUGACUUCCCUUCCAUUUUGGGAAAGCUCCAGCUCCCAGGUGUGCAGCCAUUUGACGCUGUUUCAGUUUGUGAAUUGAGUGUCUAGGAUUGCACCAAGUUCAGGUUAGCCCUUGAGAUCAAAGAGAAGGUUCUGUGGUAAUAAGAUGGGACUUAACCUCCCUCCGCCCUUUGAAAUGCCCAUCACUUUUGUUUAAGCGUAAGAAUGUCGAUUAACCCCCCCCCCAUUCCCCCCAAACCCUUCAGAGCUGUAGUUCAAAAUACUGCAAGUUUUUAUCAGUGCUCUUGCCCCAGAUGCAGGCUCUUCUCCUUUGGACUGUGUGUUUGCAGCUUUUUCUGCUUGUAGUCUCUCAGUUGACAGGCAGUCGGGUGCCAAGGGAAAAGACUGGUUGGUACAUUAUGGAGCACUGUGUUUACCCCCUCCCCCCCUCCUCACACACACCUUUUGGCACACUGCAAUUGUUGCUUGGUAUGUAAGUCAAAAUGAGAGCUGGGAAAGGUGACAUUGUAAGAGUGGGUUAGGCAAAGCCAUGAGUGUGUGAAAGAAGUAAAAAUGGUCAUUCCUAACCAAGACAAGAUAUCCGUGAAGACUUUUCUGAAUUCUUGAGGGAAAUCUGUGCCUUCCAUUUGAGUUGUUCUCCCUAUGUUCUAGCGUCCAGAGUCAAGAGAUCUGUUCAGUUUCAUGGGUUGUAGGUUCUGGUUCUGCUUUCAGACUGAGCAGUGCGGGAUAUCUGCCGGGACCAGUAUGCACCAUCUUGGAGAUCAGUGUUUGAGAAAACACUGCAAGCAACUUUGAUUCCCACUGGACGUCCAAACACCACGUCAGCCCUAAUCCACAGUGGGGGGGGGGGGGUGAAAUGCAUAAAUAUAUAGAUAAACUUUCUUCAAUCACAUGCUCCAGUUUGAAGCGAGCUCUGUACUGUGAAGGCAGGGUGUCAGGUUCAAACAGCGGGUUGUCUGGGUAGUCUGCUUCUUUAAAAGAGCUUUCCUGGAACUGGUCUGGUCUGUGUUGAUUUUGAUAGCUAUAAUAGUGGCAUUGGGGCCGGAGAGGAUGUGGGCUGUUGUAUAUAGUGCAGUAUUGGUAGAGUAGACUGCUCCCCUUUCCCCUCCCAAACCCUAUUUUUUUAGAUCUUUUAGUCUUGCAUUUAUUUUUUAAUUUUUAGUAUUCAUUUAGGUAAAAGUUCGGGCUGUGCAAUAUUAUAACGUGAAAAGAUGUGUCACGACGAGUUUUUUUAAGAGAAAAAAACAGAACAACAAAAUCACCAAUGUCUUCCAUUUGGAGAUGUAUAGUUCCACGCCACUUUAGUGCUUCAGUAGCAGCUGUAGUGCCAAACGUUAGAGGCAGUGCAUGAGGUUAGCGGAGCUUGCCAUGAGCAGUUUAACCGAAAUUUUUUUUUUAAAGUGGGGUUUAGCUUAAUGAACUAACCAGAAUUCAGGUUUAAACAGCAGACUGGUUUGAGGGAUUCAGGAUGGCCUCAUACCCAUUCUUUCAGUCUCUCCAUCUCUUGAGCUUUGGCUUUGCAAUGAAAUGUUGAUGCUUCAGAUAGGCCACUGCUUGCUUUGGGGAAGGCAAUGAUUCCUUUUAUGGAUCUUCAGAAAACCUAGUGAGUUGGGAGUGAAGGGGGAGGGGUGAUCUUGCUGGUGGGAGUGUCUGUCCCAACACCUGGAGCAAGUGAACAUCCAGUUUCCCAUUCCACGAACAAAGUGAUAUGUAACACAGAUAUGAACAAUUAGCUUCUGAAAAUACUACCAGUAACAUUUCAAAGCUUUAUGCGUAAGAAAUCUAGAAAUUACAUCCUCUUGGUGACUUGUUUGUGCAAGGAGGAAAGGGGUAUGUGACUGAUGAGGGAAGUUUAGGCACCACAUUAUCCUUUGUCCACACAUCUUGUUGUUAGGAGUCCCACCAUGUGUAGAGUUCACAGUACUGUGUCCAGCAGUACAUCCAUCUACUCUGCAGCUCUGUCAUUGGUUCAGAGUGGUUUCCUACCACCUUGCAGCCUGACACUGGCUUCUGCAAGGCUUCCCAGGGAAGGACCUUUGCUCGGAAAUGGGCCUUUGAUUUUUUUUAAAGUAAGUUUGGAAUGAGGAAAAGAUGAAAGCUGCCCAUGACGGUGAAUCUGCCACAUGAGGGGAUCUUAAAGAGGGUUUCUUGAACAGCCUUUUACGUUGAACAUUUUUGAGAGCUGAGCCUGGAGCUGGCUAGUUGGUAGUGCUUUUAAUGCUGGUUCUCUAAUACAGAGUGGCAGCGUAUGUGCACAGAAUGCUGAUUUGUCACAAUUUACUUUGCUUGUUCUUGAUCCUUUGUUGUGAUGAGGGUGGAUUUUAGUGCCAUUUAUUGAGCAUCUGGAGGCUUUGAAGCAGUUAAUCGCACAACCCUGUCUUGAAACAUCCUUCACGCUAACUGAGACUAACUUCACGAAGGUCAGAUUAAUACUACGGUCCCUUUUCUUUUUUAAAAAUAGUGCUUUGCAAAACAAUUCUGCUUUGGAUAAGAUUAUUAAAUACCUCCUGGGUUUCAACUACAAAUGAAACUCUUAGCACAAAUUGUAGUCACACUAAAAUGCAAAUAAAGCCAUAUGAUUUUAGAGUAUCUGCCAUUAGAAGCAAUAACUGUUGUAUGUGUGUUAGUAAUGCUGUACGGUAUAAGAGAGGAAGGCCUUGGAACGAACUGGCUGUAGAAUGACCAAACGGACCUCAACUCAGUUAUUCUGGUACAGGCUAUCAUCUAAUCCUGGAAACCUUGACUUCAAAGGGACUGGAAUAUCUCUGUAUUUGGCUGGUACAAGUCCAGCAGCAAUAUCUGUGGCUGACAAGGAUCUGAAUGCUUGGCUGGUUCUUGCAGUCAUCUCUCCGACACCCCAGGAGGAGCCUGUCUCAGAACUGCAGCACUCGAGUACUUCUGGAAAAAGGACAAAUGCGAGACAACGGUCUUAAUGGAUAUGACCCAGAGCAAUCGAUCCCAAGAAGUUCAGUCCUGAGUACAGCACACUUUUCAGACUCUAAAUGCUCCUCCUUCAUGAGCCAGGUGUUUGCCCAGUAUAGCAAGGGUUGCUGCCAUUAUGUUUGAGGCUCAUCGCCACAGGCAGCUGGAGCCUGAGUGGAAAGUCUCUGCUAGAUGCUGGCAGAACCUUGGACUGAUCAUAAGAACCUGGGAAAAAGAGGGUCACAUCUUCAAAAAUGCAUGUUCACAAAUGUACAGUAUAUAAUAGCCAAGUCUGUAACAAAAUCUGUCCACUGCAUAACACACUGAGCAAUAGGAAUUAAAAUGUAUGGCAGAUGUACCAUCCUGUUUGCUGUCCAGCCAGCAAAGCUGAUUGUGUUUCAGGAGACAGAGAGGGCGAGGUAUUGAGCUGGCAGGACAGUGAUUGUAUGGGGCUGAGGCACCAGCUCUGACUCAGGCACUGGUUCUGUGUUUAGUCUCAUUUUACCAGCAGCUUCCUCCAGUCCAUGGUCAUUCAGCUGCUGGUUUGUUUUGCCUCACAAGCUGUUUGUGUCUUUAUCCAGCUCUCCCUCUCAGUCGGGCACCAACAACUUCUACCCUGUCCAUUCUCGCUGAUCAGGAGCCGUGGAUCUAUACCGAAGAAUUUUUCUAAGUCAGCCCAGGUCCUUGUAGUGGCAAGGUUGAGAACACUUCUGCUCACUCUGAGAGGUGUAUGUUGUGUCUUUUUCUCAGACUGUAGAUAGUGUAUCUGUUCUCCCUAACUGGCAAUUUAAAGAUGUUCUGCUUUCCCAAGCAGUGAGUAGUAAUGUUCCAUUCCCCCCUCUUCACUCCGAGGAGCGGGAUUAGCUUGGGUUCCAUUUUUCCAGUGGAGGGAAUCUCUCCCUCCCUGUUUCCUGGUUUUCAAGCUGGUGAAAUUGGGUAAAAUCUGGUACAUUUCCAAUACUCACCGUAGCCACUGAUAGAGACAGCAGUAUGUGGAGGCUUUCUUGCAUUGCUGUCCCAGUUCAUUAGGCUCUGGUUCUUCCCUUUAGUGAGGGCCCAGUGCUCAUUGGCUGACUCAUCUGGCCUUCCUCCCCAGAGAAGCCAUUCCUUUCCCUACAAUAAAAUCCUUCAUCAUUUUCAGGACUCCUUAGAGGCGGUCUGAGUGGCUUCCAUUAUUAUAAUUUUUUUUGUUUUUCUUCAAAAAUUGGCAGUUUAUUCAGUGUCAUCUGAAAAUUUGGAAAUUGUUUUCAAGUCCAAACUAUAACUCAUUAUGCACAACCAUUCCCAAGGACUGACUCUGAACUGCAGUCAUCCACACCUGGAAGCAGCUGCCUAUUGAUUCUAUCUUUCUUGUUAAUCCAUUAUAGCUAUCUACUGAAAUUAAAUCAAUUACUAAUGUAUAUUCCUUGUUCACUUCGAUACUUUUUCAAAGUUGGUUGAAGAAGGUUUCAGGUUGAAUUUGUGCUGACUUCAUUAUGGAAACAGAAAAGGCUGGAAAUACUCGGCAGGUUCAGCCACGUGGGAAGAGACAAAAAGUUAACAUUUUCCCAUAGAUGUCGCAUAUUUCCAGUGUUUUCUCUCCAUUUUAAAUUUCAAUUUUUUUUAUUCACAGACAAUUCAAUUUUUGGUUUCUCCUUUAGUGUGAAUCAUUACUCUGCACUUGUAAUCCAAUUAGUCUAUAGUUUCCUGGGUGCUCUCAAUCUUUUAUCAGUGCUGCAUUAGCUUCUGUUUUUACUUUUUUUAAAGAAAUUACUCAAUGUAUUUAGAAGUGCCUCUUCCAUAUUUUAGGACAUGUGUAAUCUGUCCAGAUUGAGAUUUUGUUAGAAACAAUGUAUUUUAUUAUUUUUUUAAACAUCCCUUCUGAGGUAAUUGCUGGUGUGUUUUCAAAUGCCCAUCAGCGAUGUCUGCUACAAGUUGAUCUGUUCAAAAGUCGGGAUGGGAAGCUUCACUGAGGGUAACCUGGUGCUUGAUGCAGCUGUCCAUAUACAGCUUAAAGUGCAGCCAGCUGACUACAUUCAGUCCCAGGUUUCCCUUUGUACAAGUCAUGUGUAGUGCCUGAUUCAAGCUGGUGUGAUUAAGUGCUAUAUUGGAGCACGCUGCCUCAGUCCUCAAAUGUGUCUGUUCAAUAAAUGCUGUGUUUCACUGGGUUUAUAAAACAUUCUGCUGUCUAAAUUUGUUAUUUGAUUUUUUUUUAAUGGAAUACCAGUGCUAUAUGUUUUCUAGAUGCAUGAGGCAGCUUGCAUUAAACUAUGCAUUUCAGAGAGAAGGGAUAAGAAUUGCAUGAAUCGCUCAUAUGUAGAAUGAUCCCUGGAGCAGUUUAAUUGCUCUAAUUUCACCUCUGUACAGAACUAACAGCAAUAAAAGACCCGUGUUCCAAGGGUGCACCAGUGUUUA
Molecule: long non-coding RNA, 6484 nt
Organism: Hypanus sabinus (Atlantic stingray)
Lineage: Eukaryota; Metazoa; Chordata; Chondrichthyes; Myliobatiformes; Dasyatidae
Exons: 2
Source: RefSeq, a predicted model, not a curated record